GGUUAAGCGACUAAGCGUACACGGUGGAUGCCCUGGCAGUCAGAGGCGAUGAAGGACGUGCUAAUCUGCGAAAAGCGUCGGUAAGGUGAUAUGAACCGUUACAGCCGGCGAUGUCCGAAUGGGGAAACCCAGUGCAAUUCGUUGCACUAUCGUUAACUGAAUACAUAGGUUAACGAAGCGAACCGGGGGAACUGAAACAUCUAAGUACCCCGAGGAAAAGAAAUCAACCGAGAUUCCCCCAGUAGCGGCGAGCGAACGGGGAGCAGCCCAGAGUCUGAAUCAGCUUGUGUGUUAGUGGAACGGUCUGGAAAGUCCGACGGUACAGGGUGAUAGUCCCGUACACCAAAAUGCACAGGCUGUGAACUCGAAGAGUAGGGCGGGACACGUGGUAUCCUGUCUGAAUAUGGGGGGACCAUCCUCCAAGGCUAAAUACUCCUGACUGACCGAUAGUGAACCAGUACCGUGAGGGAAAGGCGAAAAGAACCCCGGCGAGGGGAGUGAAAAAGAACCUGAAACCGUGUACGUACAAGCAGUGGGAGCACCUUCGGGUGUGACUGCGUACCUUUUGUAUAAUGGGUCAGCGACUUAUAUUCUGUAGCAAGGUUAACCGUAUAGGGGAGCCGCAGGGAAACCGAGUCUUAACUGGGCGUUAAGUUGCAGGGUAUAGACCCGAAACCCGGUGAUCUAGCCAUGGGCAGGUUGAAGGUUGGGUAACACUAACUGGAGGACCGAACCGACUAAUGUUGAAAAAUUAGCGGAUGACUUGUGGCUGGGGGUGAAAGGCCAAUCAAACCGGGAGAUAGCUGGUUCUCCCCGAAAGCUAUUUAGGUAGCGCCUCGUGAACUCAUCUUCGGGGGUAGAGCACUGUUUCGGCUAGGGGGUCAUCCCGACUUACCAACCCGAUGCAAACUACGAAUACCGAAGAAUGUUAUCACGGGAGACACACGGCGGGUGCUAACGUCCGUCGUGAAGAGGGAAACAACCCAGACCGCCAGCUAAGGUCCCAAAGUCAUGGUUAAGUGGGAAACGAUGUGGGAAGGCACAGACAGCCAGGAUGUUGGCUUAGAAGCAGCCAUCAUUUAAAGAAAGCGUAAUAGCUCACUGGUCGAGUCGGCCUGCGCGGAAGAUGUAACGGGGCUAAACCAUGCACCGAAGCUGCGGCAGCGACACUAUGUGUUGUUGGGUAGGGGAGCGUUCUGUAAGCCUGCGAAGGUGACCUGUGAGGGUUGCUGGAGGUAUCAGAAGUGCGAAUGCUGACAUAAGUAACGAUAAAGCGGGUGAAAAGCCCGCUCGCCGGAAGACCAAGGGUUCCUGUCCAACGUUAAUCGGGGCAGGGUGAGUCGACCCCUAAGGCGAGGCCGAAAGGCGUAGUCGAUGGGAAACAGGUUAAUAUUCCUGUACUUGGUGUUACUGCGAAGGGGGGACGGAGAAGGCUAUGUUAGCCGGGCGACGGUUGUCCCGGUUUAAGCAUGUAGGCUGGUUAUCCAGGCAAAUCCGGAUAAUCAAGGCUGAGGUGUGAUGACGAGGCACUACGGUGCUGAAGUAACAAAUGCCCUGCUUCCAGGAAAAGCCUCUAAGCAUCAGGUAACAUCAAAUCGUACCCCAAACCGACACAGGUGGUCAGGUAGAGAAUACCAAGGCGCUUGAGAGAACUCGGGUGAAGGAACUAGGCAAAAUGGUGCCGUAACUUCGGGAGAAGGCACGCUGGUGUGUAGGUGAAGUCCCUGCGGAUGGAGCUGAGACCAGUCGAAGAUACCAGCUGGCUGCAACUGUUUAUUAAAAACACAGCACUGUGCAAACACGAAAGUGGACGUAUACGGUGUGACGCCUGCCCGGUGCCGGAAGGUUAAUUGAUGGGGUUAUCCGUAAGGAGAAGCUCUUGAUCGAAGCCCCGGUAAACGGCGGCCGUAACUAUAACGGUCCUAAGGUAGCGAAAUUCCUUGUCGGGUAAGUUCCGACCUGCACGAAUGGCGUAAUGAUGGCCAGGCUGUCUCCACCCGAGACUCAGUGAAAUUGAACUCGCUGUGAAGAUGCAGUGUACCCGCGGCAAGACGGAAAGACCCCGUGAACCUUUACUAUAGCUUGACACUGAACAUUGAGCCUUGAUGUGUAGGAUAGGUGGGAGGCUUUGAAGCGUGGACGCCAGUCUGCGUGGAGCCAACCUUGAAAUACCACCCUUUAAUGUUUGAUGUUCUAACGUUGGCCCCUUACCGGGGUUGCGGACAGUGUCUGGUGGGUAGUUUGACUGGGGCGGUCUCCUCCCAAAGCGUAACGGAGGAGCACGAAGGUUAGCUAAUCCUGGUCGGACAUCAGGAGGUUAGUGCAAUGGCAUAAGCUAGCUUGACUGCGAGCGUGACGGCGCGAGCAGGUGCGAAAGCAGGUCAUAGUGAUCCGGUGGUUCUGAAUGGAAGGGCCAUCGCUCAACGGAUAAAAGGUACUCCGGGGAUAACAGGCUGAUACCGCCCAAGAGUUCAUAUCGACGGCGGUGUUUGGCACCUCGAUGUCGGCUCAUCACAUCCUGGGGCUGAAGUAGGUCCCAAGGGUAUGGCUGUUCGCCAUUUAAAGUGGUACGCGAGCUGGGUUUAGAACGUCGUGAGACAGUUCGGUCCCUAUCUGCCGUGGGCGCUGGAGAAUUGAGGGGGGGCUGCUCCUAGUACGAGAGGACCGGAGUGGACGCAUCACUGGUGUUCGGGUUGUCAUGCCAAUGGCACUGCCCGGUAGCUAAAUGCGGAAGAGAUAAGUGCUGAAAGCAUCUAAGCACGAAACUUGCCCCGAGAUGAGUUCUCCCUGAGACUUUAAGUCUCCUGAAGGAACGUUGAAGACGACGACGUUGAUAGGCCGGGUGUGUAAGCGCAGCGAUGCGUUGAGCUAACCGGUACUAAUGAACCGUGAGGCUUAACCUU
Molecule: ribosomal RNA, 2903 nt
Filed under: Klebsiella pneumoniae
Lineage: Bacteria; Pseudomonadati; Pseudomonadota; Gammaproteobacteria; Enterobacterales; Enterobacteriaceae
Description: 23S ribosomal RNA
Rfam family: Bacterial large subunit ribosomal RNA
Source: RNAcentral